Molecule: long non-coding RNA, 606 nt
Filed under: Ananas comosus (pineapple)
Lineage: Eukaryota; Viridiplantae; Streptophyta; Magnoliopsida; Poales; Bromeliaceae
Description: long non-coding RNA (ACOM_LNC016881)
Source: RNAcentral
AUGCAUGUGGAUAAUGCUAAGUAAUGGUAUGAUAAGCAUGAUGUAGAAAUAAUAAAUGCAAGCACAUGGUUAAUGCUAAGAAUAUGGAUGAUGACAUGAUAAAAAUGCUAAGUUCAUGUAUGAUAAGCAUGUUUUAGGGAUGCUAAAAUAAGAAUGCUAAGUAAAUGACAUAUUGUAUGUGAUAGAUGAACUAUGCAUGUUGUAGGAUGAACUAUGCAUGUUGACAUGUACAUGUUAAACUUUGGGUCGAUAACUCUAGGUUGAUUAGAGAACUCGACAUUGGAAAACUAGUAUAAUGUGCAUAUGGACAAUCUAUAUACAUUAGAUCGAGUGGCAUUAAACCUAGUGUCUUGAACAUAGGUUGAACAUGAAUGAUAUGAACCUAGUGUUAGUAAACUUAGGUCGGACAUGAAGGACAAAUGAACCUAGUGUGAAUAUACAUAGGUUGGACAUCAAGUGGCAUUUAACCUAGUGUUAAAGAACAUAGGUUGGACAUGAACCUAGGGUUAAAGAAAGUAGUUAAACAAGGUUUAACCCAAAGUGACAUUGUGGCUUGGUAUUAGCGGUAUAUGCAUGAUUAGGUAAAAACCUAUCAUUGGCAUUGAG